AUACUUACCUGGCAGGGGAGACACCAUGAUCACGUAGGUGGUUUUCCCAGGGUGAGGCUCAGCCAUUGCACUCCGGCUGUGCUGACCCCUGCGAUUUCCCCAAAUGCGGGAAACUCGACUGCAUAAUUUGUGGUAGUGGGGGACUGCGUUCGCGCUCUCCCCUG
This 164-nucleotide small nuclear RNA is filed under the name Ornithorhynchus anatinus (platypus). RNAcentral describes it as "U1 spliceosomal RNA (ENSOANG00000045140.1, ENSOANG00000045759.1, ENSOANG00000049014.1)". It matches the Rfam family "U1 spliceosomal RNA". From Rfam's summary of the family: U1 is a small nuclear RNA (snRNA) component of the spliceosome (involved in pre-mRNA splicing). Lineage: Eukaryota; Metazoa; Chordata; Mammalia; Monotremata; Ornithorhynchidae. The record is from Rfam by way of RNAcentral.